This is a long non-coding RNA of Bos taurus (domestic cattle), 642 nucleotides long. Lineage: Eukaryota; Metazoa; Chordata; Mammalia; Artiodactyla; Bovidae. The record is from Ensembl.
GUCUCAGUCAUUUGCAAACUCUGCCAACGGAGCCCAGCCAGCGCCCGGGGUCUCUCUCUCUGCGACUCCCGCGUCCCGCUUGGCGCACCCGCUCUGUGGGUGCCUUCCCAGCUGCCAGCUGCUGCAGUGGCAUCCAGGAAAGGGAGACUGGAUUUUCUUUCUCGCCGCCUAGUCUCCUCCCGGCGGCCCGGGGGGCUAUUUCUCCGGGUCUGGUGCAAGGGGCAUCCUCCGCGCCUCCAGCGGGAAAGUGGAAGAGUGUGCGUCCUGGAUUGCAGCAGCGGCGAAAGCGGUGGCCGGGGACGAGGAGGCGGUGGCGACGCCAGCCGAAUUUCCCUUCGGAGCUCUGUGACCUUGGACAAGUUUCCACCCUGAAUCCCUGUAUCCUCCUCUGUAAAGUGAGAUGGUAGGUAAUGGCCACCGUCAAAGGAUCUCCACUGAAACUCUGGGAAAGGAGCCCACCUAAAGGAAGGGUCACUGCUGGGCUCACUGAAAGGGGGGAUUGUCUACCUCAGACCUGGCCAGGUGGAGACAAGGGCCAUUACUCAGGACACCCGAUCCAGAGAGACAGAUUCUCUUACCAGCCAUGCCUUCUCCCACCAUUCCUUCCUCCAAGGAUGCUCUUUCCCACCCCUUGUCUUCUAG